GAUGAACGCUGGCGGCGUGCCUAAUACAUGCAAGUCGAGCGAACAGACGAGGAGCUUGCUCCUCUGACGUUAGCGGCGGACGGGUGAGUAACACGUGGAUAACCUACCUAUAAGACUGGGAUAACUUCGGGAAACCGGAGCUAAUACCGGAUAAUAUAUUGAACCGCAUGGUUCAAUAGUGAAAGACGGUUUUGCUGCCACUUAUAGAUGGAUCCGCGCCGCAUUAGCUAGUUGGUAAGGUAACGGCUUACCAAGGCGACGAUGCGUAGCCGACCUGAGAGGGUGAUCGGCCACACUGGAACUGAGACACGGUCCAGACUCCUACGGGAGGCAGCAGUAGGGAAUCUUCCGCAAUGGGCGAAAGCCUGACGGAGCAACGCCGCGUGAGUGACGAAGGUCUUCGGAUCGUAAAACUCUGUUAUUAGGGAAGAACAAAUGUGUAAGUAACUAUGCACGUCUUGACGGUACCUAAUCAGAAAGCCACGGCUAACUACGUG
RNAcentral lists this ribosomal RNA (497 nucleotides) under uncultured bacterium. RNAcentral describes it as "partial 16S ribosomal RNA". It matches the Rfam family "Bacterial small subunit ribosomal RNA", at positions 28 to 507 of the family's 1533-position model. The record is from RNAcentral.